UGGGGAAUAGUUUAAGGGUAGAACGCCUGAUUCUGGAUCAGGCAGUUGGGGUUCGAAUCCCUGUUCCCCAGCCA
Molecule: transfer RNA, 74 nt
Filed under: Roseiflexaceae bacterium
Lineage: Bacteria; Bacillati; Chloroflexota; Chloroflexia; Chloroflexales; Roseiflexaceae
Description: tRNA-Gln
Rfam family: tRNA
About the family: Transfer RNA (tRNA) molecules are approximately 80 nucleotides in length.
Source: RNAcentral